RNAcentral lists this unclassified non-coding RNA (387 nucleotides) under soil metagenome. RNAcentral describes it as "partial contains 5.8S ribosomal RNA, internal transcribed spacer 2, and large subunit ribosomal RNA". The stretch from base 1 to 120 matches the Rfam family "5.8S ribosomal RNA", at positions 35 to 154 of the family's 154-position model. The record is from RNAcentral.
GAUGAAGAACGCAGCGAAAUGCGAUAAGUAAUGUGAAUUGCAGAAUUCAGUGAAUCAUCGAAUCUUUGAACGCACCUUGCGCUCCUUGGUAUUCCGAGGAGCAUGCCUGUUUGAGUGUCAUGAAAUUCUCAACCUUUUCAGCUUUCUUUGUUGAUCAGGCUUGGAUGUGGGAGUAUGCGGGCUUCUCAGAAGUCGGCUCUCCUGAGAUGCAUUAGCGGGACCUUUGUUGCCUGGCUUUGGUGUGAUAAUUAUCUACGCCAUUGUAGUCAAGCAGCUUAAAAUGAGGUUUCAGCUUCUAACCGUCUCCCCUGAGACAACUUUUUGACAAUUUGACCUCAAAUCAGGUAGGACUACCCGCUGAACUUAAGCAUAUCAAUAAGCGGAGGA